GGCGAACGCUGGCGGCGUGCUUAACACAUGCAAGUCGAACGGUGAAGCGCUUUCCUUUUUGGUUGGUGUGGAUGAGUGGCGAACGGGUGAGUAACACGUGAGUAACCUGCCCCCUUCUUCUGGAUAACCGCAUGAAAGUGUGGCUAAUACGGGAUAUUCUGCGCCUGCUGCAUGGUGGGUGUGGGAAAGAUUGUGCCUUUGGGUGUUUUCGGUGGGGGAUGGGCUCGCGGCCUAUCAGCUUGUUGGUGGGGUGAUGGCCUACCAAGGCGGUGACGGGUAGCCGGCCUGAGAGGGUGGACGGUCACACUGGGACUGAGACACGGCCCAG
RNAcentral lists this ribosomal RNA (328 nucleotides) under uncultured bacterium. RNAcentral's name for it is "bacterial SSU rRNA". It matches the Rfam family "Bacterial small subunit ribosomal RNA", at positions 28 to 334 of the family's 1533-position model. The record is from RNAcentral.